GGUAAGGAGGGGGGAAUAUCAGAAAAAAAAAAUAGAAAAACAAAUGAGGUCUUUCCAGAGAAGGGUCUGAAUUGUCCAGGUUGACCUUGAACUUGUGAUCCUGUUGGCUCAAACUCCUGAAUAGCUGGGAUUACAGGCAUGUGCUAUCAUGCCAGCUUUGCCCUGGAUCUUGACAUUACUUGCCUCCAGACUGGAACUUACACCAUCAAUUCUUCUGCAUCUCAAAACUUCAAACAUGGACUGGAAGCAAAUCAUCAGAUGUCCUGGGCCUCUUGUUUGUAGACUACAGAUCUCGGGACUUGACAGCCUACAUAAUCAUGUUCAACUUUGCUACAGAAUUAAGAAUUUGCAGUUAGGGCAAUGCUAAGAACCACAUCUGCAAUGAAAUCAAUUAUGUGUGCUUGGGUAGCCAAAUGGUCAGUGUGGAGAAGUUCUUCAUUAUGUAAAGAAUUGAGAUAAUUAAUGCAGAAGGAAAGGCCCCACAAGACAAAGAAGCUCUUCAAUGGGUGAAGAACUAAAAAUGGGCUUUAAAAACUACACAUGCAUAGGAAGGGCAGCAGAAGACAACAGACACUAGUAUGGCAGUAUGUAAAAACAUGGAUGUGUAACCGAUGUGAUUCUGCAAUCUGUAUACGGGGUAAAAAUGGGAGUUCAUAACCCACUUGAAUCAAAUGUAUGAAAUAUGAUAUGUCAAGAGCUUUGUAAUGUUUUGAACAACUAAUGAUAAUAAUAAAAAACUAUACAUGCUUAUUUGAUAAACAAAAGAGCUUGUGUUUUUAAAGGUGUAAACAUGCCUCUGUCCUUAUUUCCUUACUUCCAUAUCACUAUCUUGGUUCCUCCAAAAGCUAAAAAAGUACUUCUUACAUUUUCUUCCCUUCUCUCACAUAGUAGUGCUACAGAAAUUACUUAGAGGCCCAUCUCUCACAAGAGAGAUGUUAUCCUUCCUCUCUUUAUUUUAGGAGAAUAAUCAGGAAUAGACAAGAUACAGAAAAAAAAAGGAAUUAUGGAGUUUUUGGCAUCAAAGCCUUAGAUGAUUCUUAGUGGAUAUGAAAACGAUGUAUUAUUUAAUAAAGGCAAGUUCUCUAACAACUUGCAUAAACACCUGACCAGAUAUGGAGCUGCAUGACUCUAGCUACUUUCAGAUAAAUUAAUCACUAAAUCUAUACUACAAAAUUGAUGAAUUAAUAUCUUAUUAUAUCUUGAGAAAUGGAAAGUUUUCCAGGGUUUGCUUCUUCCAGAAAA
Long non-coding RNA from Marmota monax (woodchuck), 1242 nucleotides. RefSeq lists it as uncharacterized. The record is from RefSeq and is a predicted model, not a curated record. NCBI's taxonomy places the organism in Eukaryota, Metazoa, Chordata, Mammalia, Rodentia, Sciuridae. The transcript has 5 exons.